This 202-nucleotide long non-coding RNA is filed under the name Parus major (Great Tit). RNAcentral describes it as "lncRNA (ENSPMJG00000007936.1)". The record is from RNAcentral. Lineage: Eukaryota; Metazoa; Chordata; Aves; Passeriformes; Paridae.
GAUCAAUCAUAACAUGCCAUUCUUGCUAUUUCAGAGACACAAAGUCAACAGAGACAAAGCAUAAGCUGCCUCUCUUGACUUUUGGAGGAACCAUAUUUGCCACAGCAAGGAUUGCAGAAGCUGCUCUUAGUGAGAGCUGUAAUCCACUGAAGGAGGCUGGAUAGAUUCAAAGCAAGGAGCAUUAUAUUUGCUAAUACCCUGU